Molecule: unclassified non-coding RNA, 401 nt
Filed under: soil metagenome
Description: partial contains 5.8S ribosomal RNA, internal transcribed spacer 2, and large subunit ribosomal RNA
Rfam family: 5.8S ribosomal RNA (bases 1-121)
Source: RNAcentral
GAUGAAGAACGUAGCGAAAUGCGAUAAGUAAUGUGAAUUGCAGAAUUCAGUGAAUCAUCGAAUCUUUGAACGCACCUUGCGCCCUUUGGCCAUUCCGAAGGGCAUGCCUGUUUGAGUAUCAUGAACACCUCAACUCUCAUGGCUUGCCAUGAUGAGCUUGGACUUUGGGGGUCUUGCUGGCCUGUGGUCGGCUCCUCUCAAAUGAAUCAGCUUGCCAGUGUUUGGUGGCAUCACAAGUGUGAUAACUAUCUGCGCUCGUGGUUUCCAGCAGAUAACCUCCAGUGAUGGAGGUUCGCUGGGGCUCAUAAAUGUCUCUCCUAAGUGAGGACAGCUCUUUUAAUGUUUGAUCUCAAAUCAGGUAGGACUACCCGCUGAACUUAAGCAUAUCAAUAAGCGGAGGA